GGCAACGUGGCGUAGUGGUUUGAGUGUUGGACUUGGACUCUGAAGACCAGGGUUCGAUUCCCAGUUCGACCA
This is a non-coding RNA of Phrynosoma platyrhinos (Desert horned lizard), 72 nucleotides long. Lineage: Eukaryota; Metazoa; Chordata; Lepidosauria; Squamata; Phrynosomatidae. The record is from the annotation of a GenBank genome assembly.